This 558-nucleotide ribosomal RNA is filed under the name Triticum aestivum (bread wheat). RNAcentral's name for it is "partial small subunit ribosomal RNA". Lineage: Eukaryota; Viridiplantae; Streptophyta; Magnoliopsida; Poales; Poaceae. The record is from RNAcentral.
AUGAAGGGGUGGGGUGCUAACCUGGGUCGUGACCUCCGUGAGCGCAAGAAGGAGCUGCUAUCCGCGAUCCAGGCCCUUGACCUGCGGGCUGAUACGUUGGGUCUCUCUCCGGACGAGUGGCUUUCCCGGUAUGACCUGGAAGACCAGCUCUCCGUGAUUUACACCGAUGAGGAGGCCUAUUGGCGCCUCCAUGGUGCCCAGAAAUGGGUCUUGAAGGGCGACGCGAAUACGGCAUACUUCCAGGCUAUCGCCAACGGUCGCCGUAGACGCAACACCAUCCCUCUCUUGUGGGAUGGUGAGACUCUCCUUCAAGACCCUCGCGUCAUCUGGUCCCACGUCGACGGAUUCUAUAGAUCCUUAUUCUCUGCCGCCCCUAGAAGCGGCCUCUCUCUUGCCCCCGAUUGCUGGUCUGGUCCCCAGUUGGUGUCUGAGUCGGAGAACGCGACCCUUACGGCCCCCUUUUCCGAGCAGGAGGUCUGGGAUGCCAUCAAGGGCAUGAACCCAACCCCGGCGCCGGGACCGGAUGGCCUCCCGGUUAAAUUCUUCCAGACCUUCUAG